AAUGUGGCAUCAACCAACGACGGCAACACUGUCGGGUUGGGCUACACCACACACCAUGGUGUUUACAUUUAGCAGCUGAUCGUCGGCACACUUCGUCAGAUUGUAAUGGCUGAUGUUUAUACCAAUCCAGAGAAGCAUGUGGUACUUCACAACAAUGUUAAAUUGCCUGUUCUUGGCUUAGGUACAUCUCAUAAUGGUGGAUACAGCCAUGAAGCUGUGGUUUAUGCUCUGAAAAAUUGUGGUUAUAGACACAUUGACACCGCUAAACGAUACGGCUGUGAAACAUAUAUCGCCCAGGCAAUUAAGGCAUCAGGGGUACCACGGGAGGAAAUCUUUUUAGCAACGAAAUGUUGGCCAGCGGACUAUGGCGCUGCCACCACCAGAGAAGCCUUUAACGGCUCCUGUCAAAGACUAGGAACAGAUUACCUCGAUAUGUACCUCCUUCACUGGCCAGAUGUCCCAUCAGGUGUAAAGGACAAAAAGAAACUCUUACAGGACACAUGGCGGACGCUGGAGGUGUUACUUGACGAAGAGCGAGCAAGAGUCAUUGGUGUGAGUAACUUCUUGGAGCAUCACCUGGAAACAAUCAUGGAUGAGUGUUCUGUUGUUCCUCAAGUCAAUCAGUGUGAGUUUCAUCCAUACAACAACCCUAAAAAACUCCGUGCCUAUUGUGCAGAGAGGAACAUACAGUUUGAGGGCUAUUCUCCACUUGCUAAAGGCUUGGCCUUAAAGAACACUACAGUGAAGAGCAUUGCUGAGGAUUGUGGGAAAACGACGAGCCAGAUUCUUAUCCGCUGGAACUUGGACAAAAAGAUUCCUGCUAUCCCAAAAUCAACUAGAGUAGAGCGAGUGUUGGAAAAUUCUCAGGGAUACUGUCCACUAGGCAAUGGCCAAAUUCUUAAUGAACCCCAAAUUCAAGAGAUUGCCGAUGUGCACAACAAAUCCCCCGCCCAGGUCCUCAUUCGUUGGAAUCUUCAGAGGAGAGUUGUGUGUAUUCCAAAGUCCACCAAGGAGCACAGGGUCAAAGAGAAUGCUGAGGUGUUUGACUUUGCUCUGUCUCAAAAAGAUUUGGAUGCUCUUGAUAUUUUACACUGUGACCUUCAUAUGUCAUGGGACCCAAAUUUACUGAAGUGAUGUUUUCCAUAACCCUUGUGGCACCUCACACUCACACGCUAUCCUUGAGGAGGUGUUUAAUUUCGUUCUCACGGAUGAAAACAUGGCAAGAUUGGACAAUAUGGCACAAAAUUUAACCAUCAUGGAUCCCAGUUCUAUACAAGCUAAGAUUGACAACCCCUUACCUGAUGGAUACAAGCUCAACAUU
This 1321-nucleotide unclassified non-coding RNA is filed under the name Homarus americanus (American lobster). RNAcentral's name for it is "uncharacterized oxidoreductase ZK1290.5-like, transcript variant X3". Lineage: Eukaryota; Metazoa; Arthropoda; Malacostraca; Decapoda; Nephropidae. The record is from RNAcentral.